UGUUUCAUCUUCCAAACCAUUCUCCUUUAAGUUACUUAUGUUUGUUUCAUUCAUUUUCCCCCAAGAACAUUUCUAAACAAAUAUGAAAAUUUCCUCUCAAUCAUCUAUCCUAUGUUUUAAAUCACACCUUAUAGGAGUUGUGGUUGCUUUUCCAAGUCCCUUCAAGGAUCGUUCAUUGCAAUUUUGUCUUUUCGGUUUUCAUCAUCAUUUCAAGCUCUCUUAGUUGCUGGAAAAUUUCCUCUUUUUAUUCUUUAUGGUAGAGAGGAAAACACACCAACGGAAGCUUUAAGGAAUUUCCUUUAGUUUACGAAGUUCAGAUAGUUAUAUAGUUGACGAGAAUAACGUCGAUGAUGACCUGGGCAUUGACGAGGAGGAGAUAUGAGACACAGUUGAAUUUUAUUUAUAAUCUAUACUUUUAAUUAUGACUAUACCACAUUUUUACUUGUUUUAUUUAGGGAUAAUAACUUUGUGAUUUCCGUUGCUAAAGAUUUAUAAGUUAAGUCUUAUUAAGUUAUCGUUUUCA
Long non-coding RNA from Momordica charantia (bitter melon), 523 nucleotides. RefSeq lists it as uncharacterized. NCBI's taxonomy places the organism in Eukaryota, Viridiplantae, Streptophyta, Magnoliopsida, Cucurbitales, Cucurbitaceae. The record is from RefSeq and is a predicted model, not a curated record.